CCUACGGGAGACAGCAGUGGGGAAUAUUGCACAAUGGGGGAAACCCUGAUGCAGCGACGCCGCGUGAGUGAAGAAGUAUUUCGGUAUGUAAAGCUCUAUCAGCAGGGAAGAAAAUGACGGUACCUGACUAAGAAGCCACGGCGAACUACGUGCCAGCAGCCGCGGUAAUACGUAGGGGGCAAGCGUUAUCCGGAUUUACUGGGUGUAAAGGGAGCGUAGGCGGGCAGACAAGCCAGAAGGGAAAGCCCAGGGCCCAACCCGGGGACUGCUAUUGAAACUGCCGGGCUGGAGUGCAGGUGGGGUAAGCGGAAUGUCUAGUGUAGCGGUGAAAUGCAUAGAUAUUAGGAGGAACACCAGUGGCGAAGGCGGCUUACUGGACUGUAAUUGACGUUGAGGCUCGAAAGCGUGGGGAGCAAACAGGAUUAGAUACCCCAGUAGUC
Molecule: ribosomal RNA, 440 nt
Filed under: uncultured bacterium
Lineage: Bacteria
Description: partial 16S ribosomal RNA
Rfam family: Bacterial small subunit ribosomal RNA
Source: RNAcentral